Molecule: RNA transcript, 732 nt
Organism: Tribolium castaneum (red flour beetle)
Lineage: Eukaryota; Metazoa; Arthropoda; Insecta; Coleoptera; Tenebrionidae
Exons: 2
Source: RefSeq, a predicted model, not a curated record
ACCAUUUGAUAGAAAUUCUAAAGACUGAGUAAAAAACAUUGUUGAUAAAAAUAUUACAACAAUUUGAAUUGUCUGAUAUGAUUUACAUUGAAUAUUUCUCACGUAAACUAUCAUGAUAAAGGUGUUAUUAACCUCUGAAGCAAUAAUGACCUAAACUAGUUAAAUUUUCUUUAUUGUGAUACAAUUGAUUAUUUAGAUUAGGUGAUAAGAUUUCCACUAUUUAAAGGCCCACAAACCGUUCAAUUAGCAUCAGAAAUCAACUAACGAGCAGUUCUGAGAUUUUUCCGAAAAUGCCAAGCCAAGAAACCCAUCUUAAGGUGACCAACGCCUCCAAAACCGACAUUUUUACAACCGCAGUAUCAGGAAUCGACCCAUUUGAUUGGGAAAACAAACAUGGUCCUGCUGGAAAUUUCCAAGGAGUUUCUAUUCCUGCUGGAAAAUCCGAGGAACGAAGAGAAGAAGUGAAUCGUUUUGCCUCCAAUUGUCCUUUCACCAUGAAACUAAUGUUUGCUGACAAGACUGUGGACGUGUACACCAUCAAUCAAAAAUUUGCAAUCGGAGAAGCUCAACCUGAUUUUAGUCACACAGGCCCUCAUCUUGUAACUUAUGAUCAGAGUGGUAAAUACCUCAUUAUCUCUGUCCGCGACAAGGCCAAAGAAGAACAGUAAUUUGUGAAAAAUCAAUUUGUAAAUUUGGUGUAAACAAUUAAAUAAAAUUUGAUUUUGACAUUUA